UUGUUCAACGGCCAGUCGUCUGGAAGCGGAGCCGUCAUGUCGCCGCAGUUCACGGACGAGGAGUUUCAGGGCGCGUGGCGGGAGCUGGACGAGCCGCAGCUGGACGGAGGAUGGGAGAUGUUCGUGGAGACGAUGGGAGUGAAGAUCUACCGGCUCUACGACAAGGAAACGCGCCUGUACGAGUACAAAGUCUUCGGCGUGCUCGCCACCUGCAGCGCGGAGCUGUGUGCAGACGUCUACAUGGACCUGGCCUACCGGAAGCACUGGGACACGUACGUGAAAGAGCUCUAUGAAACAGACUUCAGUGGCCAGACGGCGAUCUACUGGCAAGUGAAGUACCCGUUCCCUCUGUCCAACAGAGACUACGUGUACGUGAGGGAGCGCCGCGACCUGCAGGUGGGCGGCAGGACGGUCCGCGUGGUGCUGGCCAGGAGCGCGCCGGAGCUGCCGUGUGCCGAGAGCGGCGGCGUGCUGCGGGUCAAAGACUACAAGCAGAGCGUCGCCAUGGAGAGCGAUGGGGGCUCUGGGACCAAAGUUUUCAUGAAUUACUUCGACAACCCCGGUGGCAAUAUUCCGACCUGGCUGGUGAACUGGGCCGCGGGGGUGAGUCCUCGAUGUUUUACUGGAUUUAUGGACCGUAGAAAGGAAAAGGGGUUUGGUGGCUGAAUAUUUCUCAACAAACUUUUUGUAUUUAUGUUAUUGGAACGGCUGCCGCUGGAGAUUGUGAUUCUUUAGCUACGGGUCAAUUUAAUUUCCUGAUUUUGUGCCUCCUCGAUUCCUUUCCUCGCCUCCCUUUGUGUCUUAUCGUGGAGAUGCGGGCGGAGAAUAUUUAUCACCAUCUUCUGGAGCGUUGAUGGACAGGAAGAGAGAAACGAGCUUCUCAAUGUCGUUGAAAGUGUGUAUUUACAGAUCUGCAGCACACUUUGGGCCCGGCGCGGUCCUGGGAGAAACCGGGUCGACAAAGACCCUCCAGACGGAUUAUAUAAAGAUAAUCACUGAGAUUAAAAUGCAAUAACAGCUGGAAAUAUUUCACUGACAUGUGCAAGUCGUAAAGAACCCCCCCCCCCUCCACCCUCCCCCCCCUCCCCCCUCCAGUGCACAUGUUGGGUCCGCCCAACCCAACCUGUUGACGAGGCAUUUUAAAGACGGGUUCGCCCUCUUAUAGCUCCGCCCCCUCCGCCUGCGUCACGGUCCUCCAUCGUUAUUGUCUGCAGAUGUGAUGUGUUGCCUGGGUGACGUCAAUGUGUGUGUGUGUGUGUGUGUGUUGUCAACAGACCGGGGUCCCAGACUUCUUGAACAACAUGCAGAAGGCCUGCAGCAAAUAUGGCGACUACAAGAAGAAGUGAAGGCCCCCCCCCCACCCGGACCCUCGUGCUGUACAGGGUCAACGUGACCUCUGACCUCUGAAUGUGGCGGCGACAUCAACUCUGUUCUCUCUUUUUCUUUGUCGGGUGCAAUCGCUGAGCGUCAGGGUUCAGGAGCUUCAUGGAUUUAAAACACUGACGUGUUCUUACUUUGGGUUCAGUGGUUUAAGUGCAGCUCCGUGACUCGGAGUUUAUAGUUUAACUUGUUUUUAAAUUAGUUUAAUUUACGUGUUCAAAGCCCUGAGAAGUUAACUUGAAGAAACCUGUGGAUCGGGUCUACGACCAGGACCUGGUCUAACCCUACACCCAGGACCUGGUCUAACCCUACACCCAGGACCUGGUCUCACCCUACACCCAGGACCUGGUCUCACCCUACACCCAGGACCUGGUCUAACCCUACACCCAGGACCUGGUCUAACCCUACACCCAGGACCUGGUCUCACCCUACACCCAGGACCUGGUCUAACCCUACACCCAGGACCUGGUCUCACCUGACACCCAGGACCUGGUCUCACCCUACACCCAGGACCUGGUCUAACCCUACACCCAGGACCUGGUCUCACCUGACACCCAUGACCUGGUCUAACCCUACACCCAGGACCUGGUCUAACCCUACACCCAGGACCUGGUCUCACCUGACACCCAGGACCUGGUCUAACCCUACACCCAGGACCUGGUCUAACCCUACACCCAGGACCUGGUCUAACCCUACACCCAGGACCUGGUCUCACCCUACACCCAGGACCUGGUCUAACCCUACACCCAGGACCUGGUCUCACCCUACACCCAGGACCUGGUCUAACCCUACACCCAGGACUUGGUCUAACCCUACACCCAGGACCUGGUCUAACCCUACACCCAGGACCUGAUCUCACCCUACACCCAGGACCUGGUCUAACCCUACACCCAGGACCUGGUCUAACCCUACACCCAGGACCUGGUCUAACCCUACACCCAGGACCUGGUCUCACCUGACACCCAGGACCUGGUCUAACCCUACACCCAGGACCUGGUCUCACCCUACACCCAGGACCUGGUCUAACCCUACACCCAGGACCUGGUCUAACCCUACACCCAGGACCUGGUCUCACCUGACACCCAGGACCUGGUCUAACCCUACACCCAGGACCCGGUCUCACCUGACACCCAGGACCUGGUCUAACCCUACACCCAGGACCUGGUCUAAAAAACCUUUAAAUAUAAACAGAUUAGCACUUAAAUGGCACUUACUCUUAGUAUUACUUGUGGUAUUACUCAUAGUAUUACUUGUGGUAUUACUCAUAGUAUUACUCGUGGUAUUACUCAUAGUAUUACUCAUAGUAUUACUUGUGGUAUUACUCAUAGUAUUACUCAUAGUAUUACUUGUGGUAUUACUCAUAGUAUUACUUGUGGUAUUACUCAUAGUAUUACUCAUGGUAUUUCUCAUAGUAUUACUCAUAGUAUUACUUGUGGUAUUACUUAUAGUAUUACUCAUAGUAUUACUUGUGGUAUUACUCAUAGUAUUACUCAUAGUAUUACUUGUGGUAUUACUCAUAGUAUUACUUGUGGUAUUACUCAUAGUAUUUCUCAUAGUAUUACUUGUGGUAUUACUCAUAGUAUUACUCAUAGUAUUACUCAUAGUAUUACUUGUAGUUUUCUUGAAGUCCCUUUCUUGAUUCUCGUUAUUGGUUUAAUGAAUUAAUUGUAAGUCGCUUUGGAUAAAAAGCGUCCUCUAAAUUAUUUACCAUGUAAAAGAACAAAGUAUAUUCAUAAGUCAGAUUUUUACUAAAUUAUUUCCUGUGUUUAUGAUUUUUAGAGAACGGGUAAAAAAAAAAGUCCUCAAUAUAAAUAUAUAUAUUUCUUUUCCUCUAUGAAUAUGUUGGUUUGUCAGCUGCAUUUUAAAUGUUUGUUUUUGUAAUACCAAUUUUGGCCACAAGGGUUAAAAGGAAAAAUGCAUGAGCAUCUUGAAAAAAUUAUCAGAAAUUAUAUCACCUGGAAGAAAACGUUCAUGUUUUUCGUGAGUUAGAGGUGCGCUUCAGCCUCUUGUGGCCAAAAUGAGUACUACAACAACAACACAUAUAUUUAAGCGGAUGGAAAAUAAGUUUAAAUAAGUGUCUCCCUCUGUUACUGUGGAUUUACUUGCAGGAACUUGGAGAGAUUAUUCUGAUUAUCCUGACGAGCUUCUCGUGAUUUAUUUUCAUGCGUUCGUUCCUUAAGCAAAGAUCAUGUUAUAAUCCUUGUGCUGAUUUAUGGGCACAAAUCAAAGAUCCACUUUAUCUGAGUCAUGUGUUGAUUCAGGCUGUAGCUCAGGUGCUCCUGCUGAUUCCGGUGAAUGUGAUUUAAUCUGGUCACAAAAAGCCUAUUACUAUGUAAUAAUGCUGCAUUAUUGAAAUGAAUAAAAGUUUAAAUUUAA
This is an RNA transcript of Pseudoliparis swirei, 3756 nucleotides long. It is a transcript of the gene named phosphatidylcholine transfer protein, with no coding region annotated. The transcript has 6 exons. NCBI's taxonomy places the organism in Eukaryota, Metazoa, Chordata, Actinopteri, Perciformes, Liparidae. The record is from RefSeq and is a predicted model, not a curated record.